GGCGAGUGGCGAACGGGUGAGUAAUAUAUCGGAACGUACCCAAGAGUGGGGGAUAACGUAGCGAAAGUUACGCUAAUACCGCAUACGAUCUAAGGAUGAAAGCAGGGGACCGCAAGGCCUUGUGCUCCUGGAGCGGCCGAUAUCUGAUUAGCUAGUUGGUAGGGUAAAGGCCUACCAAGGCUACGAUCAGUAGCUGGUCUGAGAGGACGACCAGCCACACUGGAACUGAGACACGGUCCAGACUCCUACGGGAGGCAGCAGUGGGGAAUUUUGGACAAUGGGCGCAAGCCUGAUCCAGCAAUGCCGCGUGAGUGAAGAAGGCCUUCGGGUUGUAAAGCUCUUUUGCCAGGGAAGAAACGGUGGGAGCUAAUAUCUCUCACUAAUGACGGUACCUGAAGAAUAAGCACCGGCUAACUACGUGCCAGCAGCCGCGGUAAUACGUAGGGUGCAAGCGUUAAUCGGAAUUACUGGGCGUAAAGCGUGCGCAGGCGGUUUUGUAAGUCUGAUGUGAAAUCCCCGGGCUCAACCUGGGAAUUGCAUUGGAGA
This 546-nucleotide ribosomal RNA is filed under the name uncultured Massilia sp. Its description in RNAcentral is "bacterial SSU rRNA". It matches the Rfam family "Bacterial small subunit ribosomal RNA", at positions 90 to 632 of the family's 1533-position model. Lineage: Bacteria; Pseudomonadati; Pseudomonadota; Betaproteobacteria; Burkholderiales; Oxalobacteraceae. The record is from RNAcentral.